RNAcentral lists this ribosomal RNA (377 nucleotides) under uncultured soil bacterium. RNAcentral's name for it is "bacterial SSU rRNA". It matches the Rfam family "Bacterial small subunit ribosomal RNA", at positions 26 to 431 of the family's 1533-position model. The record is from RNAcentral.
AGAACGAACGCUGGCGGCACGCCUAAUACAUGCAAGUCGAACGAACUCUUCGGAGUUAGUGGCGCACGGGUGCGUAACGCGUGGGAAUCUGCCCCUUGGUUCGGAAUAACAGUUGGAAACGACUGCUAAUACCGGAUGAUGACGAAAGUCCAAAGAUUUAUCGCCAAGGGAUGAGCCCGCGUAGGAUUAGCUAGUUGGUGAGGUAAAGGCUCACCAAGGCAACGAUCCUUAGCUGGUCUGAGAGGAUGAUCAGCCACACUGGGACUGAGACACGGCCCAGACUCCUACGGGAGGCAGCAGUAGGGAAUAUUGGGCAAUGGGCGAAAGCCUGAUCCAGCCAUGCCGCGUGUGUGAAGAAGGUCUUCGGAUUGUAAAGC